CCGAGUUUACAACUCCCAAACCCCAUGUGAACUUAUACCCUUUUCCUGUUGCCUCGGCGGGUCAUUUGCCCCGGACCGGGCUCGUCCAGAGCCCGCCCGGAAACAGGCGCCCGCCGCGGGACCGAAACUCUGUAUCUCUUAGCCUUUGGCACGUCUGAGUGGAAUCAUACAAAAAUGAAUCA
Molecule: unclassified non-coding RNA, 182 nt
Filed under: uncultured Nomuraea
Lineage: Eukaryota; Fungi; Ascomycota; Sordariomycetes; Hypocreales; Clavicipitaceae
Description: sequence contains ITS1
Source: RNAcentral